This is a long non-coding RNA of Eriocheir sinensis (Chinese mitten crab), 387 nucleotides long. RefSeq lists it as uncharacterized. NCBI's taxonomy places the organism in Eukaryota, Metazoa, Arthropoda, Malacostraca, Decapoda, Varunidae. The transcript is spliced from 2 exons. The record is from RefSeq and is a predicted model, not a curated record.
GGGAAAUUGGGGUUGCGAAUUUUAGGUUAAACUCAAAUAAAAUCAAUAAAGAAAACGGGAAAUUGGGGUUGCGAAUUUUAGGUUAAACUCAAAUAAAAUCAAUAAAGAAAACGGGAAUAUUUGAGUGUGUGAACUUUGGAAGGUAAAACUCAAAUAAAAUAAAAAAGAAAACGGGAAUUGGGGUUGCUAACUUUAGUGGAAGGUAAAACUGAAAUAAAAUGAAUAAAGAAAACGGGAUAUUUGGGGCUGCGAACUUUGGAAGGUAAAACUCAAAUAAAAUCAAUAAAGAAAACGGGAUACUUGGGGUUGCGAAUUUUGGAAGGUAAAACUGAAAUAAAAUCAAUGAAAAGCAACUAAAAAGAUAAAGAAAAUAGGAAAAAGAGAGAA